RNAcentral lists this ribosomal RNA (2923 nucleotides) under Klebsiella pneumoniae. RNAcentral describes it as "bacterial LSU rRNA". It matches the Rfam family "Bacterial large subunit ribosomal RNA". Lineage: Bacteria; Pseudomonadati; Pseudomonadota; Gammaproteobacteria; Enterobacterales; Enterobacteriaceae. The record is from RNAcentral.
GGGUUGUGAGGUUAAGCGACUAAGCGUACACGGUGGAUGCCCUGGCAGUCAGAGGCGAUGAAGGACGUGCUAAUCUGCGAAAAGCGUCGGUAAGGUGAUAUGAACCGUUAUAACCGGCGAUGUCCGAAUGGGGAAACCCAGUGUGAUUCGUCACACUAUCGUUAACUGAAUACAUAGGUUAACGAGGCGAACCGGGGGAACUGAAACAUCUAAGUACCCCGAGGAAAAGAAAUCAACCGAGAUUCCCCCAGUAGCGGCGAGCGAACGGGGAGCAGCCCAGAGUCUGAAUCAGCUUGUGUGUUAGUGGAACGGUCUGGAAAGUCCGACGGUACAGGGUGAUAGUCCCGUACACCAAAAUGCACAGGCUGUGAACUCGAAGAGUAGGGCGGGACACGUGGUAUCCUGUCUGAAUAUGGGGGGACCAUCCUCCAAGGCUAAAUACUCCUGACUGACCGAUAGUGAACCAGUACCGUGAGGGAAAGGCGAAAAGAACCCCGGCGAGGGGAGUGAAAAAGAACCUGAAACCGUGUACGUACAAGCAGUGGGAGCACCUUCGGGUGUGACUGCGUACCUUUUGUAUAAUGGGUCAGCGACUUAUAUUCUGUAGCAAGGUUAACCGUAUAGGGGAGCCGCAGGGAAACCGAGUCUUAACUGGGCGUUAAGUUGCAGGGUAUAGACCCGAAACCCGGUGAUCUAGCCAUGGGCAGGUUGAAGGUUGGGUAACACUAACUGGAGGACCGAACCGACUAAUGUUGAAAAAUUAGCGGAUGACUUGUGGCUGGGGGUGAAAGGCCAAUCAAACCGGGAGAUAGCUGGUUCUCCCCGAAAGCUAUUUAGGUAGCGCCUCGUGAAUUCAUCUUCGGGGGUAGAGCACUGUUUCGGCUAGGGGGUCAUCCCGACUUACCAACCCGAUGCAAACUACGAAUACCGAAGAAUGUUAUCACGGGAGACACACGGCGGGUGCUAACGUCCGUCGUGAAGAGGGAAACAACCCAGACCGCCAGCUAAGGUCCCAAAGUCAUGGUUAAGUGGGAAACGAUGUGGGAAGGCACAGACAGCCAGGAUGUUGGCUUAGAAGCAGCCAUCAUUUAAAGAAAGCGUAAUAGCUCACUGGUCGAGUCGGCCUGCGCGGAAGAUGUAACGGGGCUAAACCAUGCACCGAAGCUGCGGCAGCGACACUAUGUGUUGUUGGGUAGGGGAGCGUUCUGUAAGCCUGCGAAGGUGUGCUGUGAGGCAUGCUGGAGGUAUCAGAAGUGCGAAUGCUGACAUAAGUAACGAUAAAGCGGGUGAAAAGCCCGCUCGCCGGAAGACCAAGGGUUCCUGUCCAACGUUAAUCGGGGCAGGGUGAGUCGACCCCUAAGGCGAGGCCGAAAGGCGUAGUCGAUGGGAAACAGGUUAAUAUUCCUGUACUUGGUGUUACUGCGAAGGGGGGACGGAGAAGGCUAUGUUAGCCGGGCGACGGUUGUCCCGGUUUAAGCAUGUAGGCUGGUUGUCCAGGCAAAUCCGGAUAAUCAAGGCUGAGGUGUGAUGACGAGGUACUACGGUGCUGAAGUAACAAAUGCCCUGCUUCCAGGAAAAGCCUCUAAGCAUCAGGUAACAUCAAAUCGUACCCCAAACCGACACAGGUGGUCAGGUAGAGAAUACCAAGGCGCUUGAGAGAACUCGGGUGAAGGAACUAGGCAAAAUGGUGCCGUAACUUCGGGAGAAGGCACGCUGGUGUGUAGGUGAAGUCCCUGCGGAUGGAGCUGAGACCAGUCGAAGAUACCAGCUGGCUGCAACUGUUUAUUAAAAACACAGCACUGUGCAAACACGAAAGUGGACGUAUACGGUGUGACGCCUGCCCGGUGCCGGAAGGUUAAUUGAUGGGGUUAUCCGUAAGGAGAAGCUCUUGAUCGAAGCCCCGGUAAACGGCGGCCGUAACUAUAACGGUCCUAAGGUAGCGAAAUUCCUUGUCGGGUAAGUUCCGACCUGCACGAAUGGCGUAAUGAUGGCCAGGCUGUCUCCACCCGAGACUCAGUGAAAUUGAACUCGCUGUGAAGAUGCAGUGUACCCGCGGCAAGACGGAAAGACCCCGUGAACCUUUACUAUAGCUUGACACUGAACAUUGAGCCUUGAUGUGUAGGAUAGGUGGGAGGCUUUGAAGCGUGGACGCCAGUCUGCGUGGAGCCAACCUUGAAAUACCACCCUUUAAUGUUUGAUGUUCUAACGUUGGCCCCUUACCGGGGUUGCGGACAGUGUCUGGUGGGUAGUUUGACUGGGGCGGUCUCCUCCCAAAGCGUAACGGAGGAGCACGAAGGUUAGCUAAUCCUGGUCGGACAUCAGGAGGUUAGUGCAAUGGCAUAAGCUAGCUUGACUGCGAGCGUGACGGCGCGAGCAGGUGCGAAAGCAGGUCAUAGUGAUCCGGUGGUUCUGAAUGGAAGGGCCAUCGCUCAACGGAUAAAAGGUACUCCGGGGAUAACAGGCUGAUACCGCCCAAGAGUUCAUAUCGACGGCGGUGUUUGGCACCUCGAUGUCGGCUCAUCACAUCCUGGGGCUGAAGUAGGUCCCAAGGGUAUGGCUGUUCGCCAUUUAAAGUGGUACGCGAGCUGGGUUUAGAACGUCGUGAGACAGUUCGGUCCCUAUCUGCCGUGGGCGCUGGAGAAUUGAGGGGGGCUGCUCCUAGUACGAGAGGACCGGAGUGGACGCAUCACUGGUGUUCGGGUUGUCAUGCCAAUGGCACUGCCCGGUAGCUAAAUGCGGAAGAGAUAAGUGCUGAAAGCAUCUAAGCACGAAACUUGCCCCGAGAUGAGUUCUCCCUGAGACUUUAAGUCUCCUGAAGGAACGUUAAAGACGAUGACGUUGAUAGGCCGGGUGUGUAAGCGCAGCGAUGCGUUGAGCUAACCGGUACUAAUGAACCGUGAGGCUUAACCUUACAACGCCGAAG